AUUAGUCUUCAGGGCAAGGUGUGAGUCCUUACCGGUGGUUACAGCCCACGCGCCGAAAUUUUUUGGCUGACUUGGUGAAAGUCCGAGGCCGACAGUUAGAGUCUGGAUGGAAGAAGAUCAAU
Molecule: non-coding RNA, 122 nt
Filed under: Sporanaerobacter sp. PP17-6a
Lineage: Bacteria; Bacillati; Bacillota; Tissierellia; Tissierellales; Sporanaerobacteraceae
Also listed under: 1 other name
Description: FMN riboswitch aptamer (RFN element)
Rfam family: FMN riboswitch aptamer (RFN element)
About the family: The RFN element is a highly conserved domain that is found frequently in the 5'-untranslated regions of prokaryotic mRNAs that encode for flavin mononucleotide (FMN) biosynthesis and transport proteins. This element is a metabolite-dependent riboswitch that directly binds FMN in the absence of proteins.
Source: Rfam by way of RNAcentral